This is a long non-coding RNA of Solea senegalensis (Senegalese sole), 850 nucleotides long. RefSeq lists it as uncharacterized. The transcript is spliced from 2 exons. The record is from RefSeq and is a predicted model, not a curated record. Lineage: Eukaryota; Metazoa; Chordata; Actinopteri; Pleuronectiformes; Soleidae.
ACAAUUAACAUACAUAUUCAGCAAUAUAAACAAAUGUCAACCUAUAUACCCCCAGCUGGUGUCAAGUUUGGAAAAUAAUAACACGAAGAAAAGAGCUCAAGUGGCUUUUGAGAAAUCUGCAACAUACAUUCCUAUACACUUAGACAAAACCAUUGAACAACUCACAUUCAGUGUUUAUGUAACCCGGGUGAAAAACCCCAUUGUCAUUAUUAUUCCCUUUUUUUUGUGAAGCGUUAAAUGAUGCCGUGUGUCAUUACGUCGUGCCGUUACGUCAUUUCGUCGCGUCGUUACGUCAUCACAUUGCGCCGUAACAUAACUCCGUUGGGGCUCGCUGCCGGCAGCAGUGAGAGGAGCACGCCGGGGAAAUGUUUGCAGGAGGUACGUUGUAGUACGCCGCGGAAUAUCGUAAUUUAAACACUCUGGAACUAAAUGCAUUACAGUAACCUAAUGUUGAAACAUAGGAGCCGACUACCGGAGCCGCUGAUCAUACGAUUCGGAGACCUAGUCUAAAUGAAUCAUGGAAUUGGCCAGGUGAUGGCGAGAAGUAUAAGAGUAUAGUCAAGUUUGAAGAUCCUUGGAAACCUCCACUGCUUUGGUCGGGCUGGUAGGAGGCUCCUUGGCACAGGCGCUCCUCUCUCUCUCUGCCCUUACACUCAAUUAACAUUCCACACCUACAUUACACACAUUCACCCAUUAAUACAGACUGUUCCCUAAAACUUAUUUAUUGUCAAUUUGUAUAUAUAUAUGAUCGGAACUGUACAUAUUGUAUUGUUGUAUAUGAAUGGCCAUUUGUAUUUUGUUAAAUAAUUCUGGUAAUGGUUCACAAUUAUAUGGUGUCACCAAACUUAAA